AGGAGGUAAAUUGUAAUUAACUUUUACAUAACCCGAUGAAGCUGAUGACAUGGCUUGUGAAGUAGUCCAGGUCAUCAACUGAAUUAACUAAUACCAAGGGGAAACCGUUAAAAGGAGAAAGGCAGCCCCCAACUCCCUCCCUCCCUCCCUCCCUCCCUGUCUCAAGGAUCUCCCAUCCCCCUCUCUUCUCUCUGCAACUAAUUAGGGUUUAAAGUCACUCAAAUAAUCACAAGUAUCGUGGUUUUUCUAUCAACGUCAAGUAAUUCCGAAGUUUAGCAUGGAAGGGGGGAAUGGAAACGAGGUAGAAAGAGAAGAAGAUGAUUCCGUGAGCGAUAUUCUUCAAGACCGAUUUAGACUCUCAGCCAUAUCCAUUGCCGAGAAUGAAGCUAAGAAAAAUGGCGUGGAGAUAUCUGAACCAAUAACUUCUUGCAUUGCUGAUUUGGCCCUUAAUUAUACAGAACAACUUGCGAAGGAACUUGAGGCAUUUGCACAGCAUGCCGGUCGUAAAUCUGUCAACAUGGAAGAUGUCAUACUUUCUGCUCACAGAAAUGAACAUCUUACCGCCUUAUUGAGGUCAUUUUGCAAUGAUCUGAAAGAAAAAGAGCCCCAAUCUGAGAGAAAGCGGAGGAAAACAUCAAAAAAGGAAGAUAAAGCCACUACAAGUGCUGUAAAUAUUCCUGAUAUUUAACAAUUGCACAUCUCGAUUUUUGGGAGAAUCAUGUCUAGUGCAUUGUAAUUGUGGAAAACCAAACUAAGCAAAAAGAAGUCUCCAAAAAGACCGCUGAUUCUGGUCUUUAUCUAUAGUCCGCGCGCGGCAAUCAUUAUUCUCAGUUGAUUGUAUCUGCCUGCUGCUGUGGUGUUGAGAUGUGGCCACAGCUGACCUCCAAUAUUGAAUCAAUUUCCUCCUUUUUAAUGUGAAGCUCGACCCUGUUCCAAAAUAUUACAUGGGAAAUUUUUCGAAGUUUCUGAUUUUGUUUUAUGGAGUCGGCCAAACGCUUACAAGAAUACUCAUAUAUACAUUCUCUCUCACUUUCUUUGCA
Molecule: RNA transcript, 1040 nt
Organism: Populus trichocarpa (black cottonwood)
Lineage: Eukaryota; Viridiplantae; Streptophyta; Magnoliopsida; Malpighiales; Salicaceae
Gene name: protein MHF1 homolog
Exons: 6
Source: RefSeq, a predicted model, not a curated record